RNAcentral lists this transfer RNA (70 nucleotides) under Dipodomys ordii (Ord's kangaroo rat). It matches the Rfam family "tRNA". Rfam says of the family: Transfer RNA (tRNA) molecules are approximately 80 nucleotides in length. Their secondary structure includes four short double-helical elements and three loops (D, anti-codon, and T loops). Further hydrogen bonds mediate the characteristic L-shaped molecular structure. tRNAs have two regions of fundamental functional importance: the anti-codon, which is responsible for specific mRNA codon recognition, and the 3' end, to which the tRNAs corresponding amino acid is attached (by aminoacyl-tRNA synthetases). tRNAs cope with the degeneracy of the genetic code in two manners: having more than one tRNA (with a specific anti-codon) for a particular amino acid; and 'wobble' base-pairing, i.e. permitting non-standard base-pairing at the 3rd anti-codon position. Lineage: Eukaryota; Metazoa; Chordata; Mammalia; Rodentia; Heteromyidae. The record is from Rfam by way of RNAcentral.
GGGAAUGUGGCUUAGUGGUAGAGUGCUUGCUUCGUAUGCAUGAAGCCCUGGGUUUGAUUCCUCAGUACCA